This is a long non-coding RNA of Oryzias melastigma (Indian medaka), 5470 nucleotides long. RefSeq lists it as uncharacterized. Lineage: Eukaryota; Metazoa; Chordata; Actinopteri; Beloniformes; Adrianichthyidae. The record is from RefSeq and is a predicted model, not a curated record. The transcript has 2 exons.
CCGAACCAACGGUCAGGUGCGCGGCUGGAACGGAACUGCGCAUGCGCGGGAAAUGUAUCGAAACUUAAACUAGAAGCGGAGGAAGAGCAGAGAUGAAGCUUGAUCCCGACAGAACCGGAUCCUUCAGACUUCAGCUGGAAGCGGAGGCAGACUCAGAGUGAAAGUCUGAGCGCCGACCCACAAACUGCUUCCAGACCUCCUCGUUAGGACCGGCAGCAGAGCGGGACAUCGUCACCGCCGGCGGAGCCAGGCCGGAUUCCUGGGAGGUGGCGUCAUGCGCAGCUGCUCCUCCCCGGGGGGGUCCAGACUCAGUCAGGGGAGGAGGGGGUGUGGGCCAGAUGAGGUCAAAAAACGGCGAGUUUUCUUCCUCCCGCCGGUCGCAGCUCACAGAGAAAUGCGACGCUCUGCAGGAGCGAGAUCGUUCUGGAUCUCCAUCUCCGAACCAUCACAGAUUCACAGUUCAGAGUUCACUUUAUUAUCAGGAGACGAACCUCUGAAAAACUACAGCUUCAAUUACAAAGCACAGACUGUAAGACAAACAGGUGAGUGAAGCUCCUCCCCAAAAAACCCUCCUGUGAUGCUCCUCCCCCUCCUCCCCCCAGAUGCGUCUCCUCUGUCGCUCCUUAUGGUGGAGUAAAAACCUAAAGUCCCGGGACGCCUCCGUCCUCAGCCGUCCCCCUCCUCUUCAUGGGACCGGAUGUCCUCCGGGUCGGGCGGCUCCUCCAGCGCCUCCUGCUGGAUGUGCUGGAUGGACACGAUGCCGGUGAGGAGCGCGUAGCUCAGCAUGGCGCCCAGAGCCACCAGAGCGGACAGCAGCUGCUUCCGCCGCUUGUUGGGGACGUUGUCGAAGUCUCCGGCCUCCGGCUGGGGGGGCGACUUCUGGCUGCAGCCGUCUGAGGAAAAACAGGACGGGGGAGGGGGGGGUCACUGGUCAGACUGAGCAACAUGAAACCAAAGGAGCCAGAAGUUCUGGGAUCUUCUGGCUUCAGUCCAAACACACAAGCUCCUCCUCCUCAUCGUCCGUUUACCGCCGUUUCCAUGACGCCUCACAGACUCCUCACCUCUGCCGUCUCGGGGGAAGUAGAGCAGCAGGAUGUUGCUGCAGAAGUUGGUCAGGUUGUCCAGGGAUCUCAGAUGCUGCUGCAGCUUCCCGUUGGGCAGCUUACACCUCAGGAUCGGCGCCAGAUGACCGAAGACGUAGGCGUCCAGAGAGGAGGGCCUGCCGAGGAGAAAGAGGGCGGGAGGAGGGUUACCUCUGGAACCGAUACUGGUGGUGGGUAGAGAGUAGAGCAUUGACUGUAUACGAGUACUGGACUGAGUGACCCCGCCCCCUAUCGUUCCAAACAGGAAGUACCUGCUGGCUCCAAGAAGCCAAAAUUCUUCUUCAUAAUCUGUAGUUCAAGUUACUCAAUUGACCAAUCAGAUACCUCAGUAACAGUAGGCGGAGCCUGUUGGCCCCCACAUCCAACGUUCAAAACGUUGACUGAUUGGAACGAGUGGUUGCCAUAGAAACGAUGACUUAAACCGAAUUGGACCAAUCACACGGCGGCGUCUGCAUCACAAAAAUGGCGACUGAAUCGACAUCAUUUGGUUGGAGCCGGAAGUGAACGGAUUACGUCACUCAGUCCAGUUCUCUUAUACAGUCACUGCUGGUCUGAACGUGGAGGAACUCACGAGUCCCCGAAGAAAAACUUCUGGGAGCCGAGUCGUUGGGACAGCAGGUCCAUGCACUCCGUGGCGUCACGAAACAACUGCAGAAGAAGACACAGAGAAGCUGGGUCAGUUCUGGUUCCUGUAGGAGACCCGGACUGAACCAGAACCAGAACCAGCAUUCGUUUACUGAGAGCUUCUGAGCAGAAACGGUACAGAGUCGUCUACAUAAAGGUGAGCUCAGAAAACAGACCACGUCUGUGGUCACAUGACCCAGCGGACGGCGAGCUGUCGGUACAGAUCUGAUUCGCCCCGAGAUUGAAGAGUUUAAAUCUCAACAAUCAUGGUGGCGCAGAGGUAGAGCGGUCAACCUCUGGUCAGAGAAUGGCAGGUUAGGUUCCCCACUUGCCCCAGAGAGUAAACCUGCAUUACUCCUGGGGGUAAUAGGUGGCACCAGUGUACGGCAGCAGAGUUCUGGUUCUGGUUUAGUCAGACAACCAGUCCAAAGUGAACCUGAACCGGCUUCUGAAAUCGAUUCUGAAGCUUCAGGUUUUUGUCUGCAUCCUGUUCUCCAACAUUUGAGGCUGAAACGUUCCUGAGGGAGACUUCACACCAACCGCAGUGCUGAGGUUCACACGGCUGACGCUCACACGGCUGAGGUUCACAUGGCUGACGUUCACACGGCUGACGUUCACACGGCUGACGCUCACACGGCUGACGUUCACACGGCUGAGGUUCACACGGCUGAUGCUCACACGGCUGACGUUCACACGGCUGACGUUCACACGGCUGACGCUCACACGGCUGACGUUCACACGGCUGACGUUCACACGGCUGACGCUCACACGGCCCGAACCGCCGACACUUCAGAGUUACACAUCAUGGCGAAGAAUAACUACAGCUCCACAACAGUCAGUGUGAAACGUGCAUGUGUGUCGACGUGCAUGUGUGUGAGUUUAUCCAAAUCCCAGAAGGAACCUGUUUAUUCCUUCUGCGGUUCUGGAGGUUUCCACUGGCAGGAAUCCGGUUCUCCGUUUGAGCCGGUCCCUGGGCGCCGUUUAACCUCUGACCUCCAUUCUGGAGCAGCAGAAGUCCAUCAUUAAGGUCCAAUCAAGCCUUCACUUCCCAUCAUGCACUCUGGCUUCCUCCCCAGCAGGGACACAUGGAAACGAUGGCUUCAUCCAACCUGGAACAGCAUGGGGGGGGCAGGUUCUGGUGGUACCGUCAGCUGACCCAGAGGAUUACUGUCAUCGGUUCUUUUGGUGAUAAUUUGGAGCAUUCUCACAAAAGUGAUUCUCACUCGAGUUGAUGUCAAAGAAUGACACAGAAUCCCAGAAUAAAACAAAUAAAAAGAAGUUAUUUCAUUGACAAUCUUUAGGACCGACUCCACUGUAAAAAUGACCUCCAAGCAUGAAGACCAGACGACCUACAAUCUGACUUCUCCAAGAAGAUUCUUUAUAUAUUUAUUCUCCUUUGGUUUUCCAACGUUUGACUGACAGACUUUCACUCGUCGAUGCAGACAAACUUUAUCGGAACGAUUUUUCAGGUAGUUGGCAUCCCCAGGUUGACCUCAGACGACCUCACCUCCUUCUCCAGCUCCUCUCCCGCCUCCAGACGCUCGUCUCCCUGCAGCAGCCGCAGCUUCUCCAGCUGCUGGCUUUGCAUCCGUCCAGGCAGGAAGAAGUUGAGCGGGAAGGGCAUGUGUUCGGCGAACCAGCGGCGAGUCACGUCCACGUAGUUCUUUGGCUCGAUCCAGAAGGCGUAGAUCUACAGGAACCAGACCCGACAGUCACCAGCAGGUCCAGCAGAAGAGAAGAAGAAGAAGCCUCACCAGAGCCGGCCGGAGUUUCUCCUCCAUCAGGGAGAUGAAGGCCAGGCUGUCGGCGCCCUCCUUCGCUGAAAGAUCAUAGUCGGCGUUGAACUUCUGGGAAAACAAACGUGUUUAUUUUGGCAGGUAAAGGACAGGUGAGAGUGAGCAGGUAAACUGAUAGCAGAGGGCGGGAUCGGUCAUGAUGAAUGAAUGAUCCGGAAUCGUUUUAGGAAUUUUAAAUAAACAAAAAUUGAUAUAAUUUAAAGCAAAAAACAAAAAAAGCUAACGGCGGAGCGUUUUUCACUGGGAUGUUUUUGAAGAACACAAACAUGGCUGACCUUUCAGAUUGGCCAGUUAGCUUUGGAUAGAAGUCAGAUAAGAUCAGAUCUAUCAGACCAACAUUACAUAUGUAGGAACUCAACAGACGAUGAGAUCUCAAUGUGCGCCUCAGACUAAAUCUAUUUAUUUAGUCUGAGGCGAGAAAAAGAGCGUUUCAUUAAAGCUGAUCUGAUGAAAACGUAACAUUAUCUCAGUUAAGGGUGUUGAGUUCAGGGAAUAUUUGUGACUUUUGAUGUAAGACUUUUGAGGAUUAAACCAAAUAUUUUUCAUGUCAGAAUUUUUAUGUUCUUAAUAAAAGUUAAACAAGUUUACUGAUCUACUGAUCUGAUUUACUUAAGGAUACACUUGGAGAAAAGUCAUAUUGGUCUCGAUCAGAGUUCUCACUCAGUUGACCUUGGACCCACUGAAGGCGGAGUCUGGCUGAGGCCGUGUGGGGCUCCAUUUGUGCCUAAAAUAUGUUUUUGCGUCCAUCGUCUACAUCUACUGAACAAGUUUAUUGAACAUUUGUUCAUGUCCAUGUACUACUGAGCAAAAUCUGAGAAACGACAGGAGCUAACAACGCUAGCGACUGUUGCUAAGGAGCUAACGACGCUAGCGACUGUUGCUAAGGACUCUUCUGACAAUUGUAGCCAGUACCAUCAAGGCAAGCUGAAUCACCUGGCCAUGCUUUUAUUGUGGAGGGUCCCAAACACUCUUUAAGCUCCAAGUUGAUGGAUGCACUUCCUGCUUCCUGCUGCCUACUUCCUGCUUCCUGCCACAUGCUGCCUGCUUUCAGCUGUUGCUGCUGUGGUUAGCAUUUGACCAGAACCUGCAAACCUGAUAACUGGCAAACCUGCCAGUUCAAAUCUCCUUAGAUACCCAUUGAUCACCUCACCGGUGAGUGUUGCCAUCGCGAUUAGAUUUGUUUUUCUUGACAACACAAUCACUCCAGGCUACAUGCUAAACUCACAUGGUUUAUCCAAACAUUUCGCUUCCUUUGAUUUACUUAGUUGAUUUUGUUUAAAUUCAUAGCAGAGAUUUUUCCUUCUAUUUUGUUUAAUUUUCCAUUUUUGUAGUAGUCUGUUUUGGAAAGUUUUCAUACAUUUGAUAAAAGAGAAAAAAAAAAGCGCUCCAUUGGAAUUUAAAACUGGAUUACUUGAUUAACUAUUUUGUCAUUAUUCCUGGAAAAAAAAAGUAUUUGAAUUGAAUGAAAGUGCACUUUGUUUUGAAAUGAAACCUUUGAAUCAAAUAGAAUUAUAUUUUGCUAAGUUUGAACUGAAUAUUUACAUUUAUUUCUUCUUACAAACAUAACUUUGUAAGUGAACUAAUCUCUGAUUUAUUUGUUUAAUUACUACCUUCACUGUGGUCAAACUGUUUUGUUGUGAUUCUCAUUUUGAUAUUUUCUGACUCAUCCCAGGUCAGGUUUUUUUCUUUUGUAUUCUUCUGAUGUCCCAAAUCGAUGGCGAGCUACCCAACCUGAACCAAGCUGGACUAUAAACAUCUCAUCAAUCUGCAAUAGAGCCCAACGGAUUAUCACCAGUGAAAUUCUCAAGAUUCAUGAACUUGGACACUUCAAAUCUACCUUCAUUCCCCCACAACCUUCCUCCUCAGCCUUCGGUCCCUAUUUUGUGUUUUAGUAUUUGUAUUUUUUAUUAUUUAUUUCUUUUCUUCAAUACAAUCGAUUGAAAUCUU